GUCAGGAUCCCUGGCGCCGCCUGAGCCAGCGGCUGCUAGGAGGCUGUGUCCGCAAGCCAGCGGGGCGAGGCACCUGGGGCCUGCGCGUCAGGUCCCGGCCUGGGGCACCGGGGCUGCCAGCGUCGGAGGAGGUGCGGGCGCGGGGUUGGCGGGCGGCCUAACGGGGGCCUGCGCGGACCGCCCGUGGCGCAGCCUCGGGUCUCUCUCCAUCUCUAAGUGGUGGUGGCUGUGGGUUUUUCUGCAGGCCUGAGACCUGGGAGGAAGCUGGAGAAAAGAUGCCCUCUGAAUCUUUGUGUUUGGCUGCCCAGGCUCGCCUUGACACCGAAUGGUUGAAAACAGAUAUACAGAUGAUAGUGUCGAACCAAGUGAAACAAAGAAAGAAGAUCUGAAUGACAAAGAGAAAAAAGAUGAAGACGAAACUCCUGCACCUGUAUAUAGGGCCAAGUCAAUUCUGGAGACCUGGGCGUGGGGCAAGCAACCAGGUAAUCUUCUGAGUUUUGGCACUUUGGAAAGCUUGAUCUGACGCUCCUUUUCUAAAUAACUUGGAUGGAUUAUUUGUAUUUUUUGGUAACAAUUUUAAAAAAUGUAAUUAAAAAAAUUUAAAUAUUGUGGUAAAAUAUACAUACCGUAAAACUUGCCAUUUUAAUCAUUUUUAUGUGUACAGUUCAUUGGCAUUAAGUAUAUUCACAUUAUUGCCCAGCCGUCACCACCAUCCAUCUCUACAACUUUUGCCCUUUCUCCAACUGAAACUCCGUAUCCAUGAAACACUAACUCCUUCUGUCCCCAAGCAACCACCAUUCUACUUUUGUCUCAGAAUUUGACUACUCAAGGUGUCUCCUAUAAGGGGAAUCAUACAGUAUUUGUCCUUUUGUGACUGGGUUAUUGAACUUGUUAGGUGUUUGGGGUUCAUCCGCAUGUGUCAAAAUUUUCUUUUAAAGGCUCAAUGCUAUUCCAUUAUAUAUGUAAGCCACAUGUUAUCCCUUCAUCAGUGGGCAAUCAGGUUGCUUUCAUCUCUUGACUGUUGUGAGUAAUGCUGCUAUCAACAUUGGUUUACCAGUGUCUUGAGUGUCUGCUUUUAAUUCUUUGUGUCUAUACCUAGGAGUGGAAUUGGUCAAUAAUGUGGAAUGCUUACAUAUUUAUUUUUUUUGAGAUGGCAUCUCGCUCUGUCGCCCAGGCUGGAGUGCAGUGGCGCCAUCUCAGCUCACAGCAAGCUCCGCCUCUCGGGUUCACGCAAUUCUCCUGCCUCAGCUUCCUGAGUAGCUGGGACUACAGGCGCCCGCCACCAUGCCUGGCUAAUUUUUUUGUAUUUUUAGUAGAGUCUGGGUUUCACUGUGUUAGCCAUGAUGGUCUCCAUCUCCUGACCUCGUGAUCCACCCACCUCAGCCUCCCAAAUUGCUGGGAUUACAGGUGUGAGCCACCGCACCUGGCCAAUAAGGUGGUAGUUAGAUUUAUGUUUAACUUAUUAUUGUUGUUUUUGAGAUUGGGUCUCAC
RNAcentral lists this long non-coding RNA (1491 nucleotides) under Homo sapiens (human). Its description in RNAcentral is "HSALNT0325012". The record is from RNAcentral. Lineage: Eukaryota; Metazoa; Chordata; Mammalia; Primates; Hominidae.